AGCUGGACGGGGUCGACGGCGCGGGUCACGACGAGGUAAUCGCGCAUCACGAUGCCGUGACGAUUCUC
Molecule: small RNA, 68 nt
Filed under: Rhodococcus jostii
Lineage: Bacteria; Bacillati; Actinomycetota; Actinomycetes; Mycobacteriales; Nocardiaceae
Description: ASdes TB sRNA
Rfam family: ASdes TB sRNA
Source: RNAcentral